Long non-coding RNA from Pyrus x bretschneideri (Chinese white pear), 2036 nucleotides. RefSeq lists it as uncharacterized. The transcript is spliced from 4 exons. NCBI's taxonomy places the organism in Eukaryota, Viridiplantae, Streptophyta, Magnoliopsida, Rosales, Rosaceae. The record is from RefSeq and is a predicted model, not a curated record.
UGAUUCAGAUGAACCCACUCAGCCCCAACAUCUUUCGAUUCAAAAGCGAGACUCGCCGAUCAAUGCAUUCGCUUACCCCUUUCGGGUUUGAUGAUGUGAUCACUAGAGUUCACCAUAGCCCGGUCAAGGCUCCUCAGAAGGUUUGCAGUCGCCUUAUAAGGUUUUGGAUGCAACUGCUUUGCAAGACGAUUUAUAUUCGAACCUUGUCGAUUGGUCUUUGCACAAUGUGCUUGCUAUUGGGUUGGGAAAUUUUGUUUAUUUAUGGAAUGCUUCUUGUAGCACGGUAAUCUCUGGCUUUACUUUGCUUCUCUUUCUUAUCUUAACAUUGUUGUUGUAAUUUGAGGCAAACGUGGAUGUUUUUCAAUGUCACAAGUCACAACCUUUUAAUGACUAUAACUUUUUUUCGAUCAUGUGUGAGUAUUUUUCUUGGUGUAUGUAUGAAAUUGAUCACUUUGAGUCUUUGCCGAUGUAAUAUUUUUGAUUUUACGAUUGAAUGUUACUUGCAGUUAACAAAGUUAUGUGACUUGGGAAUUGAUGAUAGUGUCUGUUCCGUUGGCAGGGGUUAAUGCGGAACUCAUCUAGCAGUUGGAACUAGCAACGUGGAACCCAUUCACAUCUGAUAGACAUGUUGCAUUCUUAGACAUUUGAAAUUGAGAUGUUAUUUUUAUAUUUAUAAUAUUGCAAAGUGGAAUUACAAGUCUAGUUGCAACAGAAUCCACAAUGUAGAUAUUUGAACAACAAGUUUGUGACAUUAAUAUGGGGAAUACGAUCCUUAAACAACAAAACGCGUGAAAUAUAUUGCAGAAUUUGUGGAAAUUUUUGUUAUUAGAAUGUAUACUAAUACAAAUAACAAGGUCAUAUCUAGCUGUAUAUUCUUGUCUAGUCUGUGGUGUGACAAGGCCCACCAACACAUCACGUCAAAUAUUGAUAGGGUGGAAUUAGACAUUAUCUAUUUACUCAUUCUAGAAUCUCCAACUUUUGUUUUGAUGUCCAGAUUCCAUAGAUGUCUUUAAGUGUUCAUUGUUGUAUAGGAAUAUGAAUAGGUGAGUUGAAACCUCCAUGCCCUUCUCAUUACAUUGUGGAUUUGUGACGAUGUUUGGUAAUAUGAGUCUAAACACAAUAGGAUUCUUAUUUUGGCGACUUCGAUUUGUUCGAUUUUUUGCACAAUUAUUCAAACAUGAAUAAAAUUUUGACUAGUGGUCUAGUUAUAUGCGACAUGCUUCUUCUGUGUUCGCCCUUUGUUAGAACCAAGUCAGUGUAUACAAUAAUCAGAUUAGGAUUGUAUUUUAUGUUACAAUUAGAUAUUCAACACAGUUGCAUGGGAGCAACAAGCAACGACAAGAGUGAGAAGAAGAAGGGAGACAGAGGUGAGAUAAAGAAGGAGGAAAACCCCAUCACCGUCAUCCUCAAGGUUGUCAAAUGCGUCAAAGAUUUUGGAGGUAUAAUAAUAUUAAAUCCUUCAAAACCCUUUGCUUAACUAUUGCAUAAUAAAUUCUCAAGGUCCGCAAGCCAAGUCAUUGUGUCUACUUCUAGAGAAAGAAAGUGGGAGUGAGAGAGAAAGCGAUCUGAAUGGUGGUGGAAUUAGGGUUGUACAACAAAAGAAGCAUCAGAGAAAAAUGGGGACUCUUCAAACAUGCAGGAAAGCCAACGGUGCUAUCAAAGACUCUACAAAAGUCGGCCUUGCCCACAUCAACAACGAUUACACGAUAAUUGAGAAUGAACAGCUUCAAUUAAGAAAGACUUACUGUGUUAAGAUUGCACACAACAUUUCCACCAGGAAGAGGGAGGUGAUCAAUGAGCGUAUAGCCCAAUUUGAUGUUGUUACCAACAAAAUUGCCAAGAGGACAAGUAAAUCUUGAAGUUGUUUUGGUUUAUUUUGCUGUGUGUUUUCCUACAAUGCUAGUUUCAGAAUUUUGGGAGAAAUUUUAUUCAAGAUGCUACUUUGUUUUCAACUUGGUGUUGUUGAAUCUAUACUAUUUUACUAAUCUAGUCAUGUUUGACGAUAUUAAGUUCUACCAACUCGUUUGAUUUUGCCA